GAUUAAUGCUAGCUGUGCGCCUAAUACAUGCAAGUCGAACGGUAAGGCCCUUUCGGGGGUACACGAGUGGCGGACGGGUGCGUAACGCGUAUGCAACAUGCCUUCCAGCGGGGGAUAUACCAGGGAAACUUGGCGCAAUACCCCAUAGAAUUACGGGACCGCACGGUCUUGUGAUUAAAACUCCGGUGCUGGGAGAUUGGCAUGCGUGACAUUAGCUAGUUGGCGGGGUAACGGCCCACCAAGGCGACGAUGUCUAGCUGGUCUGAGAGGAUGAUCCGCCACACUGGGACUGAGACACGGCCCAGACUCCUACGGGAGGCAGCAGUGGGGAAUUUUGGACAAUGGGCGAAAGCCUGAUCCAGCCAUGCCGCGUGAGUGAAGAAGGCCUCGG
RNAcentral lists this ribosomal RNA (391 nucleotides) under uncultured bacterium. RNAcentral's name for it is "bacterial SSU rRNA". It matches the Rfam family "Bacterial small subunit ribosomal RNA", at positions 28 to 420 of the family's 1533-position model. The record is from RNAcentral.